UGCGUAGGCGGGUCUUUAAGUCAGGGGUGAAAUCCUGGAGCUCAACUCCAGAACUGCCUUUGAUACUGAAGAUCUUGAGUUCGGGAGAGGUGAGUGGAACUGCGAGUGUAGAGGUGAAAUUCGUAGAUAUUCGCAAGAACACCAGUGGCGAAGGCGGCUCACUGGCCCGAUACUGACGCUGAGGACGAAAGCUGGGGGAGCAAACA
This 206-nucleotide ribosomal RNA is filed under the name uncultured bacterium. RNAcentral's name for it is "partial 16S ribosomal RNA". It matches the Rfam family "Bacterial small subunit ribosomal RNA", at positions 568 to 774 of the family's 1533-position model. The record is from RNAcentral.